UACAGAGGUCUCAAGCGUUGUUCGGAUUCAUUGGGCGUAAAGAGUGCGUAGGUGGCGGGGUAAGUCAGGUGUGAAAUUUCGGAGCUUAACUCCGAAACUGCAUUUGAUACUGCCUUGCUUGAGGACUGGAGAGGAGACUGGAAUUCACGGUGUAGCAGUGAAAUGCGUAGAGAUCGUGAGGAAGACCAGUGGCGAAGGCGGGUCUCUGGACAGUUCCUGACACUGAGGCACGAAGGCCAGGGGAGCAAACGGG
This 253-nucleotide ribosomal RNA is filed under the name uncultured bacterium. Its description in RNAcentral is "partial 16S ribosomal RNA". It matches the Rfam family "Bacterial small subunit ribosomal RNA", at positions 524 to 776 of the family's 1533-position model. The record is from RNAcentral.